Molecule: ribosomal RNA, 497 nt
Filed under: uncultured bacterium
Lineage: Bacteria
Description: partial 16S ribosomal RNA
Rfam family: Bacterial small subunit ribosomal RNA
Source: RNAcentral
GAUGAACGCUGGCGGCGUGCCUAAUACAUGCAAGUCGAGCGAAAAGACGAGGAGCUUGCUCCUCUGUCGUUAGCGGAGGACGGGUGAGUAACACGUGGAUACUCUACCUAUAAGACUGGGAUAACUACGGGAAACCGGAGCUUAUCCCGGAUAAUCUCUUGCAGCGUAUGGUUCAAUAGUGAAAGACGGUUUUGCUGUCACUAAUAGAUGGAUAUGCGCCGCAUUAGCUAGUUGGUAAGGUAACGGGUUACCAAGGCAACGAUGCGUAGCCGACGGGAGAGGGUGAUAGGCCACACUGGAACUGGGACACGGACCAGACUCCUACGGGAGGCAGCAGUAGGGAAUCGGCCGCAAUGGUCGAGAGCCUUACGGAGCAACGCCGAGUGAGUGAUGAAGGUCUUCGGAGCGGAAAACUCGGUUAUUAGGUAAGAACAAAUGUGUAAGUAACUAUGCACGUCUUGACGGUACCUAAUCAGAAAGCCACGGCUAACUACGUG